CCUACGGGGGGCAGCAGUGGGGAAUAUUGGACAAUGGGGACAACCCUGAUCCAGCCAUGCCGCGUGUGUGAAGAAGGCCCUCGGGUUGUAAAGCACUUUCAGUGAGGAAGAACGCCUGGUGGUUAAUACCCAUCAGGAAAGACAUCACUCACAGAAGAAGCACCGGCUAACUCCGUGCCAGCAGCCGCGGUAAUACGGAGGGUGCGAGCGUUAAUCGGAAUUACUGGGCGUAAAGCGCGCGUAGGUGGCUUGAUAAGCCGGUUGUGAAAGCCCCGGGCUCAACCUGGGAACGGCAUCCGGAACUGUCAAGCUAGAGUGCAGGAGAGGAAGGUAGAAUUCCCGGUGUAGCGGUGAAAUGCGUAGAGAUCGGGAGGAAUACCAGUGGCGAAGGCGGCCUUCUGGACUGACACUGGCACUGAGGUGCGAAAGCGUGGGUAGCAAACAGGAUUAGAUACCCUAGUAGUC
Molecule: ribosomal RNA, 465 nt
Filed under: Vreelandella stevensii
Lineage: Bacteria; Pseudomonadati; Pseudomonadota; Gammaproteobacteria; Oceanospirillales; Halomonadaceae
Description: partial 16S ribosomal RNA
Rfam family: Bacterial small subunit ribosomal RNA
Source: RNAcentral